Rana temporaria (common frog) is the source of this 869-nucleotide long non-coding RNA. RefSeq lists it as uncharacterized. The transcript is spliced from 2 exons. Lineage: Eukaryota; Metazoa; Chordata; Amphibia; Anura; Ranidae. The record is from RefSeq and is a predicted model, not a curated record.
ACUCCGACUCCACAGCCCUGGUUUUGGGGACGCUGUAGAAAAGUGUACACGACAGUCCUUUUGGUAAGGAGCUGAAAUGGUUAAAUGAGUAUUAUAUUUUGGUGACCCAACCUACUUUUGCUUUUCUUUCUGUCGCAUAGAAGUGAUAAGAUUAUUUGUUGUGUGGCUACACUGACUGUAAGGUGGGACAGUCAGUGGUCUCCAGUCCAAAUAUCGUGAGAGUGAAAAGUCUGCUAUGGUGGAUGACCAUCUCUGGGUAAAGAAAGAGUUGCCUUUAUCAAGUGUAAGAUGGAAACUGAUAUCGUACAAGCAAAGAAGGAGGCUUGUUGGCCCAUAAUGUUGAUAUGGGAACGCAUAACUCAGGCAUACACAUCUAAUUCUCCACCUAGACACUGGGGUCUCCAAAAAGGAGACUUUGGAUUCCAAUCCUGGAAAUUGUCCUCAAGCAAUGAGAGGUUCAUCGUGGUCUGGGAUAAGGAUUGCUCUUAUUGGAAAGUGAAUUCUCCAUUUGAACAAACAACUCUGUUUUUUGUUGGGCCUCUGUUUAUAGAAAAAUCAAGGUCUGGCCUAUUUGUACCUCCUUUUUUUACUGUGAGAAACUCUGAUAAGGAUCUCCUAAUCCCUGCCGGUCAAGCAAGAGUGUCACAAAAACAUGCACAAAUUGCACAAUAUCUGUUAAAGCCAUUCACAACAAAAUUUCCUGAUUAUGCAACAUCACAGCAGUGAUUGUCUAUUUUAAGGUGCCGUAUUUCAAUAUGCCCUCAAAAUGGCAACACUUAUGGACAUGUCAGGUUUUAUGCAGACUAUUCAAUAAUCCACUCGCACACAUUCCUGGACUUUUGAAAAUGGCUCGUAGAAAGAAGGUGGAU